AUUGAACGCUGGCGGCAUGCUUUACACAUGCAAGUCGAACGGCAGCGCGGGGCAACCUGGUGGCGAGUGGCGAACGGGUGAGUAAUAUAUCGGAACGUACCCAGAAGUGGGGGAUAACGUAGCGAAAGUUACGCUAAUACCGCAUACGAUCUACGGAUGAAAGUAGGGGACCGCAAGGCCUUAUGCUUUUGGAGCGGCCGAUAUCUGAUUAGCUAGUUGGUGAGGUAAAGGCUCACCAAGGCGACGAUCAGUAGCUGGUCUGAGAGGACGACCAGCCACACUGGAACUGAGACACGGUCCAGACUCCUACGGGAGGCAGCAGUGGGGAAUUUUGGACAAUGGGCGCAAGCCUGAUCCAGCAAUGCCGCGUGAGUGAAGAAGGCCUUCGGGUUGUAAAGCUCUUUUGUCAGGGAAGAAACGGUAGAGGCUAAUAUCCUUUGCUAAUGACGGUACCUGAAGAAUAAGCACCGGCUAACUACGUG
Molecule: ribosomal RNA, 482 nt
Filed under: uncultured bacterium
Lineage: Bacteria
Description: partial 16S ribosomal RNA
Rfam family: Bacterial small subunit ribosomal RNA
Source: RNAcentral